This 253-nucleotide ribosomal RNA is filed under the name uncultured bacterium. RNAcentral's name for it is "partial 16S ribosomal RNA". It matches the Rfam family "Bacterial small subunit ribosomal RNA", at positions 524 to 776 of the family's 1533-position model. The record is from RNAcentral.
UACGAAGGGGGCUAGCGUUGCUCGGAAUCACUGGGCGUAAAGGGUGCGUAGGCGGGUUUUAAGUCAGGGGUGAAAUCCUGGAGCUCAACUCCAGAACUGCCUUUGAUACUGAAGAUCUUGAGUCCGGGAGAGGUGAGUGGAACUGCGAGUGUAGAGGUGAAAUUCGUAGAUAUUCGCAAGAACACCAGUGGCGAAGGCGGCUCACUGGCCCGGUACUGACGCUGAGGCACGGAAAGCGUGGGGAGCAAACAGG